This 84-nucleotide non-coding RNA is filed under the name Brevibacillus massiliensis. The record is from RNAcentral. Lineage: Bacteria; Bacillati; Bacillota; Bacilli; Caryophanales; Paenibacillaceae.
CCGGAGUCGUGAGGCUCCGCUGAACGUACAGGAGUCAGCAGAGGCCGUAGUACCCAAGUAGAGGACGCUCGAAAAGGGAAGGGC